CCAUUUAAAAAAAAAAACUGCAUUUUGGAUUCACAUUACUUAUAAACCAUCUUCAUUUUAAAUCAACGGCAACAAAAUGCUUGAGAUAUAUAUUGUUACCACUGGUAAAUGGAAUUGGUUACAUUAACUGGACACCUAUAAAAAAGAUUUUUUUUUUUUUUUUUUUUUUUAAAUACAAAAGAUGAAGUGACCCUCAUGGUAUGUUUCGUAAUGUGGGAACUCUCUCACCAGCAUACCCAGUGAUUGAAUGCCACAGUGUUUCUUCGAAUCACCCAGGAUGUUAUUUCAGUUCCUGUUCUCCUCCUCUUUUCUGCCCAUCUCGCAUUUUUGCCCUUUCAGCUGAUUCAAAUCCCCCUACUCAUUUCCCUCCGUGUCCUCCUCCUUAUCGUCCAAGAGCAUUCUGUAAACAUACCGGUUCUGGCUUUCAUUCUAGAACGUGCAUUGUUUCCUUUUUGACUCAUAAAUCUCUGGGUCGUCCCACAUUUUUUAUUCCCCUGGAGUGAAUCAGGGUGCAGUUUGCUGUAGGUUAGGCUUUGUGUAAUACACCCCCUGCCCUUGAAGUGAUCUCUCUUCUAUUUAUGCAACAAAUACAUGGGUACAUCUGUGGAAUGCAGGUCUUUCAGCUGUUGCUUGCUGAAAAUGUUUACCGUGUAAGCUUGAUAGUACACCUGAUAAGAGUUACGCUCUUGAUUAAAGAGCUGCGAACAACAGCCUUUCAUCACAAGUCUCCAGACUAAAAUCCUUAAAAGAGCUGUUUUUUAAAACUAACUAAAUAUAGUUUGAUUUUCUGACGCAGUGCCUUCAGUUGCUGUGCACGGUAGUUUAAACAAGGUCAUCUCAGUUUUGUAACCCUUAUUUUCACUUCCUAAUUGUGUCAUUCAUUCUUAUGAACUGCAAAGUUUUUGCCGAUGGGUUUUCUUCUCCUCACUGAUGUAGUUGUUGCCAAUCAGUUGAUUCAUAGGCAGAGGAAGUUGACCAAAAACAAGGACCUGCUUUUAUGGAGCUCAAUGUUUGCCAGUGGGAAAUAGAAUCAACCCCAACACCUAACAAUUCCUUUAUUUUAUAAACGCCACCGUUUUUCUCUGUUAAUUAUGCCAUUUUCUGUAGUUUUCUGUAAUAACAAUCUUCUUAAUGUUAUUUUCACAAAACUGGAUUUAAAAUUAACAAGACAGGUGUAUCUCAAACGAUAAAUGUGCUAUUUGUCUUGUGCUUGAAGUACUUUUUAUGAAUGCAAUGUUUUUAUAUGGUUUAUAUUUAUCUCUGGUUAUUUGUUUAUGUUUGUAUCCAAGUUUCCUCAGUUGCACGUUUUGUUUGUAUUCUAGCAGUUACUUUUUUAUUUAAUUUACUUGUUUUAGCAUUUAUUGGUGUUAUGAUAGUUUGCAUACUGCUUAUUUUGUAUUUAACUAUAGACCACUAUGUUUUAAAAAAAAGUAUGGAAAAUCUGACUGGUUGGUGAAACUCAUAUAGCUUUUGUUCACAAAUAGUGAUAUAUUGCAAGCAUGUAUGUAUAGAUGUUUAAAAAAACGUAUUUUCUGUAACGCCAUAUUUGUGAGAAAUAUAGUUUUAAACCAAUAGGAGCGGAUGACCAAUAAAGGACACUGUUUUAAACAGAAAUGUCUAAAACAUCAUGGGGAAUACUUUUGACUGGGCCGUUGCUUUAAAAAAAAAAAAAAAAAAAAUUCAAGUAAUAGAAAAGAUUAUUUUAUAAAUGCUUUGAGCUAUAACUUUUUGCUUAAUGAAUUCUUACAAUUUGACUUUUGCCUUUUGAAUUUAACUUAAAAAAACACCUCUAGUAUGGUGAUCUGAUUUAUUAAUCUAAAGUAAGUUUUAAUAGGAUGUUUUUUUUUUUUACUUAAUUUUUUUAAAGUUGUUUUUGAGAUUUUAUUGAUCAUGUUUACUGUAAAGGAGGGGUGUUUUUAGUUUAGAUGUCUUUGGCCUGUGUUAUUGCUUUUGACUUCAGGCCCAGGCAUGCAUGCGUUAAACGACACACUUGUUUCUGCAAACAGCCUGAAGCUGAGCUAUAAGCACCGAUCACACUGACAGAAAAACGCAACACUUUUCUGUCACACUGCUGUUGUUUCAGUUUAUUGUCCUGUUUAGGUUUUUCCCUUUCUUUUCGAUAUCAUCUGAUAAAAAAGUUAAGUUGUUCAUGAAUUUUCCUGAGAGCCUCUUGUUUGCAACCGCUACUCUACUUCUACUUAUUCAUGCAGAUAUGAACUUAUCAGCAAAAUCCCUCCGUUGUAGAAAAACACAUUUUAUCAGCUCUGCUUUGGCUUUUUAUACAAACUCAGUCAUAUAGACAAAAGCCAAAUCCAACUCUUUCUUAGCCCUAACUCUACAUUUUACUCAUUCACACUAAGGACUAAACUCUAUCAGGGUUUCCUGAGUAGGUGCAAAGUAACCAGACCCAAAAUGCACUAUGUUUUUCCUGAGACACACAUGGAAUCAAAAAGGUAAGAGCCCGCUUUCAAGUCUAACAACUUAAUACUUUCAAAGUUAGCAUACUGUUAAAGGCAAAAAA
Long non-coding RNA from Poecilia latipinna (sailfin molly), 2521 nucleotides. RefSeq lists it as uncharacterized. The transcript is spliced from 2 exons. The record is from RefSeq and is a predicted model, not a curated record. Lineage: Eukaryota; Metazoa; Chordata; Actinopteri; Cyprinodontiformes; Poeciliidae.